Molecule: long non-coding RNA, 457 nt
Filed under: Panax ginseng (ginseng)
Lineage: Eukaryota; Viridiplantae; Streptophyta; Magnoliopsida; Apiales; Araliaceae
Description: long non-coding RNA (PGIN_LNC010937)
Source: RNAcentral
UUUUUUAUUCCUAAACAAGUAUAUUUCAUUUAGUUGUAUGUAUAAUAUAGUGAUAUAGGACGGUCUAAGCCUACCAGGUUUGACCAGGCCAGGUCUUGAUUUUUUGACUGCAGGUCGGGCCAGACCAAAUUUAGAAAAAAAAAUGUAACCUAUUGAGGCCUACAGGCUAGGCCGGGCCAGGCCUCAUUAGGCCCAAGUCAGCCCAAGUGCUCUUUAUUUCAAAAAAUUUAAACUCAACUUCUCCUUUAUUAAAUAAAAACAGGACAAAAAACUUUUACUAGACUAUGUGAGAUUAUGCCCAAGUUUAACCAAACCUCCAUUUAUUAAAGAAAAGCACGGAUAACAAACUUUUUUUUAAACUAUAUGAGAGUGGAACUAUGCCAUGCUUAGCCAAACUUCCUUUCCUCUAUUUAUAGAAGAAAAGUAAGGACAAGAAAUGUUAACUAGACUAUGUGAG